AAAAAAAUUUCCGCCCAAAAUCGAAAUAAGAAGCUCCCCCUGUAAUUCUCUUUCUAACUCCUUCCCUCCCUCCCCCUCUCUCUCUCUCCCUCUCUCUCUCUCUCUCUUUCUCUCUGCGCCGCUGGCAAUCGAUCCCCAACGACGCUGGCGAUGGUGACACCUCCGUCGUCGAAUCCUUCGAGCGCGUCCUCAGCAACUCCCUCCGCAAGAUUUCGUCGCAAUCUUCGUCUCCCGAUGAGAUUCCGGCGUCGACCUCGUUGAUCAAGGUCAUUCGUCGGGCUCAGUCGUCGACCGAGUCGGGAAGCGAGUGUAUCAGAGGAAAGGGGUGAUCACUGACAUCAAGUCCUUCGGUACCGUCAAGCUCGGAUACGGAAUCAAGAAGCGCGAUGGCAGGCAUUUCCAGGAGGAAUGACCGAGGAGAAAAAAGUAGUAAGAAGGAGAGCCCUUGCAAAGUGGCUAAAGGAGAGUAUUUUGAGAUUAGGCCCAACAUUUAUCAAAAUAGGGCAACAAUUUUCUUCAAGGGUGGAUAUUCUUGCACAAGAAUAUGUUGAUCAGUUGUCCGAACUUCAGGUCAAAAAACUUGUCGACCAUAUGAUUCAUGCACCCAUUACACCACUGUAUUGCUCUGUACCAGCCUACUUGCACAAUUUAUUACACACCAAGUAUAUUCUGAACUCUAUAUCUGUUUUGUUCUUUAAGCAGUUAAAGAUAAUACAUAGCAUUUACAUACAUGAUAUACAUAUGACUGGUUGAUAUGAUUUAUGGUUUUUUGGUACAUAUGAAAUUAUUUUACUUUGAAAACUUGUAGUAGGUCAAUAAUUGUUUCAGUUUCUUGGGUGUCUUAUUUUUAAAAGAGCAUUUUAAAGAAUCUUCCAUAUUAGCCAGUCAAUCUAUCUUUCUUUAUUAUGACUUAUGAGAGUGCCUUCGCAGGUAGUUUGAGAAAACCGCUUUUAUGUUUGCUAACCAUAAUUGAAUUCUACUCGCUGCAAACUUGUUUAUUUGAGAAUAUAGAUAAUAAUAUAGUGAUCUAUUUUGUCCUGGUACUUCUUGUAAUUAUACUUCGAGCAUUCUAGUUGCAAUCUGACUUUUGGUGCGGUUGCAUGCUUUCUUGCAUAUUAUAGGUACUAGAUCUUAAUGUUCAAAGAGCAGGUUAAAAAAAAAAAAGCUUUAGUAGAUGUUUGAAUAAGGAAGGAGUUUCUUAGAACAAUCCUCAUUCAGCAUUCCGCAGAGUUGCACAUGUAAAAAAAAUCACAUUUUUAGAGGAGUUAUAUAUGCAAAAUGGAAUGUUAAUGGAUGCAAUCAUGCAAUGCAUUUGAAGAGAAACAUAUGUAAAAACUUUUUUUCUUAACGAUAAUUUUUUUUAAAAUUUUGACGUAGAAGAGUACAAUUUUUUAUGGAAAAGAAAAUAGUUGAAGUAUCCAUAUAACUUUUCUGAUGUUAAAAAUAACAGUCUACAAUGCUCAAGAGAUUACAGUUAUGGAACAGCGAAGAGAUGCAUAAUAGUGUGGGAAAUAUAAUAAUUUAUAAGUUCCAUAUAGCUUCGGUGAACUGUGUGACCCUAACAUAUCAGACCAGCUGCAACUCCAAAAAGAUUAAAAAAAUAAGAACCAUCUUCUAGCAUAGCUGUUGACAAACUUUGUCAACAAAGCUGUCCAUGACCUGUUCAUUCCAAAAUUUAGCUCACAAGUAGUGGCAUUUGUUCUAUAUAUAUAUUUUUGUAACAUUACUUUAUGAUAUCUUCUUUUUCAAUUGGCAAGUGGUUACCAUUUUGUCGAUAAUAUUUUUCUUGGUAUUUAUCAGUUAAUGGUGGCAUUUCCACCCUCAGAACUGAUAGAUGCAACUUUUUCAGAUAAGUUAUUAAAUUUAUUGAUUUCUAUGCUUAUUUAGGACCAAGUGCCUCCAUUUCCUUCAAAAACAGCUAUGUCAAUUGUUGAAGAAGAGCUUGGAAGCCCUGUGGAUUAUAUUUUUGAUCGGUUUGAUUAUGAGCCAAUAGCUGUCGCAAGUCUUGGUCAGGUGCAUCGUGCAUGCUUAAAGGGUCAGAAGUUGUGAUCAAAGUUCAGAGACCUGGUCUAAAGGAUCUAUUUGAAAUAUAUAAAUGUUAUAGUUGAGGUGAUGAGAGGUUACGAAGAAUGACUGAGGUGCUGCUUUUACCCUGGCCUGGACAUGUAGAGUUUUAGUACAUGACG
Molecule: RNA transcript, 2186 nt
Organism: Asparagus officinalis (garden asparagus)
Lineage: Eukaryota; Viridiplantae; Streptophyta; Magnoliopsida; Asparagales; Asparagaceae
Exons: 4
Source: RefSeq, a predicted model, not a curated record